This is a long non-coding RNA of Pistacia vera, 250 nucleotides long. RefSeq lists it as uncharacterized. NCBI's taxonomy places the organism in Eukaryota, Viridiplantae, Streptophyta, Magnoliopsida, Sapindales, Anacardiaceae. The record is from RefSeq and is a predicted model, not a curated record. The transcript is spliced from 3 exons.
GAGAGUCCGAGCCCUAGGGUUUUAUCAAUUUCCAAUUAUCCUCGCCUAGAGAAAAUUAUGGUGGAGGGAUACUGGAAUCGGCAGCAGGCGUCUCUACUCCCUUCUGGUCCCAUGCUUAAACGACCCCGUUCUGAUUACGAUCUUCCCCAGUCUGGGAGUCUUCACGUCAUGAGAGGCAUGGUUAUUUAUCACGAGAUGAUGAUCGUGGUGAGAAUCGGUCUGUAAAGGAUACAAGAAUUAUUGGAUCAGC